CGUGACACUGAUGACUACUGGUGACGUGAGUUGUGGAUAAUGAAAAUAAGUGUCUGAAAUGCUGAGAUCCAA
Small nucleolar RNA from Hippopotamus amphibius kiboko, 72 nucleotides. RefSeq annotates it as small nucleolar RNA SNORD113/SNORD114 family. Lineage: Eukaryota; Metazoa; Chordata; Mammalia; Artiodactyla; Hippopotamidae. The record is from RefSeq and is a predicted model, not a curated record. The transcript has a single exon.